AGGAAUCGAAGCCUGAAAUUGAAGUUUUGACGUCGAAAUCAAGCCUUGCCGGAUUCUGCAAAAUUCUGGAAUUUUUCCGACCACCGAAGCUUUCGAUCGGUAUAUCUCGAGCUACAGACCAUAUUUUUCUGUGAUUCUUGAACCAGUGAGUUCUUCUUGAGUUUCUUAACAACUCUUCAGAAGGAAUCGAAGCCUUAAAUUGACGUUUUUACGUCGAAUUGGAGCUCGCCGUUUUCUGCAGUUUCUCGCCGGUUUCUGGAAAAUUCCGGCCACCUUCAUACUGUUCAAGGUGGUUGAUGGAUUGAUUGGUGAACGAUUUCGGAUCGUUGUUUUGAGCUGUUAAGAAGACGCAGCGGGAAUUUAGAGGUGAGUAAACCUCACGUGGUUCAUAUUACGAACCGAGUACCUUUAAUUACUUUAUUUUCUGUAGUAA
This is a long non-coding RNA of Rosa rugosa (rugosa rose), 433 nucleotides long. RefSeq lists it as uncharacterized. The transcript is spliced from 2 exons. The record is from RefSeq and is a predicted model, not a curated record. Lineage: Eukaryota; Viridiplantae; Streptophyta; Magnoliopsida; Rosales; Rosaceae.